Molecule: ribosomal RNA, 1055 nt
Filed under: marine metagenome
Description: bacterial SSU rRNA
Rfam family: Bacterial small subunit ribosomal RNA
Source: RNAcentral
CUGAGACACGGCCCAGACUCCUACGGGAGGCAGCAGCAAGGAAUUUUCCGCAAUGGACGAAAGUCUGACGGAGCAACGCCGCGUGAAGGAAUAAGGCCUUAGGGUCGUAAACUUCUUUUGUGAGGGAAGAAGAUCUGACGGUACCUCACGAAUAAUGCACGGCUAACUACGUGCCAGCAGCCGCGGUAAUACGUAGGUGCAAAACGUUGUCCGGAUUUACUGGGCGUAAAGGGCGCGCAGGCGGGUUAAAAAGUCAUCAAUUAAAGUCCAUGGCUUAACUGUGGGAUGUUGGUGAAACUGUUAAUCUUGAGGUUUCUAGAGGAGAGUGGAAUUAUCGGUGUAGUGGUGGAAUGCGUAGAUAUCGAUAGGAACACCAGUGGCGAAAGCGGCUCUCUGGGGAACACCUGACGCUGAGGCGCGAAAGCAUGGGUAGCAAACCGGAUUAGAUACCCGGGUAGUCCAUGCCGUAAACGAUGAGUACUAGUUGUCGGGGGUAUCGACCCCUUCGGUAACAAAGCUAACGCGUUAAGUACUCCGCCUGGGGACUACGAUCGCAAGAUUAAAACUCAAAGGAAUUGACGGGGGCCCGCACAAGCAGCGGAGCGUGCGGUUUAAUUCGAAGCUACGCGAAGAACCUUACCAAGGUUUGACAUGAUAUGGACAGCUGGUGAAAGCCAGUCUCUUUCGGGCCGUAUCACAGGUGCUGCAUGGCUGUCGUCAGCUCGUGCCGUGAGGUGUUGGGUUAAGUCCCCUAACGAGCGCAACCCCUGUCGUCUGUUGUAUUUUUCAGGCGAGACUGCUGGGAACACCCCAGAGGAAGGAGGGGAUGACGUCAAGUCAGCAUGGCCCUUACACCUUGGGCUACUCGCACGCUACAAUGGGUGAUACAAACCGUUGCCAAGUCGCAAGAUGGAGCUAAUCGGAGAAAGUCACCCUCAGUACGGAUUGCAGGCUGAAACUCGCCUGCAUGAAGCCGGAGUUGCUAGUAAACGUAGGUCAGCCUUACUACGUUGAAUACGUUCCCGGGCCUUGUACACACCGCCCGUCACGUCAUG